Treponema pedis str. T A4 is the source of this 114-nucleotide regulatory RNA element. It matches the Rfam family "TD-1 RNA". Rfam says of the family: non coding RNA found in Treponema denticola NCBI's taxonomy places the organism in Bacteria, Pseudomonadati, Spirochaetota, Spirochaetia, Treponematales, Treponemataceae. The record is from Rfam.
GUUAACCGUCGAGUUUGCCUUUCGGCAAACAUCGCUUAUUAAACAUGUGCGCUUUUCGCGCACUAAUUGAACACCUUCCAAAGUUCAUACUUUGUUCAGUUGUUCAAUUUUAAG